AAGAAAUUAGCUCAGUUGGUAGAGCUGUCGUUUUACACACGAAAGGUCAGGUGUUCAAGUCACCUAUUUCUUA
Molecule: transfer RNA, 73 nt
Filed under: Aspergillus rambellii
Lineage: Eukaryota; Fungi; Ascomycota; Eurotiomycetes; Eurotiales; Aspergillaceae
Rfam family: tRNA
About the family: Transfer RNA (tRNA) molecules are approximately 80 nucleotides in length.
Source: Rfam by way of RNAcentral